Molecule: ribosomal RNA, 229 nt
Filed under: uncultured bacterium
Lineage: Bacteria
Description: partial 16S ribosomal RNA
Rfam family: Bacterial small subunit ribosomal RNA
Source: RNAcentral
GGACGAACGCUGGCGGCGUGCUUAACACAUGCAAGUCGAGCGGUAAGGCCCUUUCGGGGGUACACGAGCGGCGAACGGGUGAGUAACACGUGGGUGACCUGCCCUCAGCUCUGGGAUAAGCCUGGGAAACCGGGUCUAAUACCGGAUAUGACUCCAUGACGCAUGUUGUGGGGUGAAAGCCUUGUGCGGCUGAGGAUGGGCCCGCGGCCUAUCAGCUUGUUGGUGGGGU